GAUGAACGCUGGCGGCGUGCCUAAUACAUGCAAGUCGAACGCUUCACUUCGGUGAAGAGUGGCGAACGGGUGAGUAAUACAUAAGUAACCUGGCAUCUACAGGGGGAUAACUGAUGGAAACGUCAGCUAAGACCGCAUAGGUGUAGAGAUCGCAUGAACUCUAUAUGAAAAGUGCUACGGGACUGGUAGAUGAUGGACUUAUGGCGCAUUAGCUUGUUGGUAGGGUAACGGCCUACCAAGGCGACGAUGCGUAGCCGACCUGAGAGGGUGACCGGCCACACUGGGACUGAGACACGGCCCAGACUCCUACGGGAGGCAGCAGUAGGGAAUUUUCGGCAAUGGGGGAAACCCUGACCGAGCAACGCCGCGUGAAGGAAGAAGUAAUUCGUUAUGUAAACUUCUGUCAUAGAGGAAGAACGGUGGAUAUAGGGAAUGAUAUCCAAGUGACGGUACUC
Molecule: ribosomal RNA, 455 nt
Filed under: uncultured bacterium
Lineage: Bacteria
Description: bacterial SSU rRNA
Rfam family: Bacterial small subunit ribosomal RNA
Source: RNAcentral